RNAcentral lists this ribosomal RNA (2427 nucleotides) under Salmonella enterica subsp. enterica serovar Derby. RNAcentral describes it as "bacterial LSU rRNA". The stretch from base 329 to 2427 matches the Rfam family "Bacterial large subunit ribosomal RNA". Lineage: Bacteria; Pseudomonadati; Pseudomonadota; Gammaproteobacteria; Enterobacterales; Enterobacteriaceae. The record is from RNAcentral.
AGUCACCUGCCUUAAUAUCUCAAAACUGACUUACGAGUCACGUUUGAGAUAUUUGCUCUUUAAAAAUCUGGAUCAAGCUGAAAAUUGAAACACAGAACAACGAAAGUUGUUCGUGAGUCUCUCAAAUUNAUCACCUCCUUACCUUAAAGAAGCGUACUUUGCAGUGCUCACACAGAUUGUCUGAUGAAAAGUGAAUAGCAAGGCGUUUACGCGUUGGGAGUGAGGCUGAAAAAAUAAGGCCGUUCGCUUUCUAUUAAUGAAAGCUCACCCUACACGAAAAUAUCACGCAGCGCGUGAUAAGCAAUUUUCGUGUCCCCUUCGUCUAGAGGCCCAGGACACCGCCCUUUCACGGCGGUAACAGGGGUUCGAAUCCCCUAGGGGACGCCUGAGGGAAAGGCGAAAAGAACCCCGGCGAGGGGAGUGAAAAAGAACCUGAAACCGUGUACGUACAAGCAGUGGGAGCCCCACCACUAAGCCAGUGGUGAACUCCACAUACGCAUCCUUUGCUGAGGAUACGGUUAACGGAGCGAAAGCGACGUUCAACCUCAAAAGAAGCAGAGGGGGCUUAGUGGUGGGGUGACUGCGUACCUUUUGUAUAAUGGGUCAGCGACUUAUAUUCUGUAGCAAGGUUAACCGAAUAGGGGAGCCGGAGGGUAAUAGCUCACUGGUCGAGUCGGCCUGCGCGGAAGAUGUAACGGGGCUAAACCAUGCACCGAAGCUGCGGCAGCGACGCUUAUGCGUUGUUGGGUAGGGGAGCGUUCUGUAAGCCUGUGAAGGUGGCCUGUGAGGGUUGCUGGAGGUAUCAGAAGUGCGAAUGCUNGUUGGGUAGGGGAGCGUUCUGUAAGCCUGUGAAGGUGGCCUGUGAGGGUUGCUGGAGGUAUCAGAAGUGCGAAUGCUGACAUAAGUAACGAUAAAGCGGGUGAAAAGCCCGCUCGCCGGAAGACCAAGGGUUCCUGUCCAACGUUAAUCGGGGCAGGGUGAGUCGACCCCUAAGGCGAGGCCGAAAGGCGUAGUCGAUGGGAAACGGGUUAAUAUUCCCGUACUUGGUGUUACUGCGAAGGGGGGACGGAGAAGGCUAUGUUGGCCGGGCGACGGUUGUCCCGGUUUAAGCGUGUAGGUGUGUGUUCCAGGUAAAUCCGGUUCACUUUAACACUGAGGCGUGACGACGAGGCACUACGGUGCUGAAGCAACAAAUGCCCUGCUUCCAGGAAAAGCCUCUAAGCAUCAGGUAACAUCAAAUCGUACCCCAAACCGACACAGGUGGUCAGGUAGAGAAUACCAAGGCGCUUGAGAGAACUCGGGUGAAGGAACUAGGCAAAAUGGUGCCGUAACUUCGGGAGAAGGCACGCUGACACGUAGGUGAAGUGAUUUACUCACGGAGCUGAAGUCAGUCGAAGAUACCAGCUGGCUGCAACUGUUUAUUAAAAACACAGCACUGUGCAAACACGAAAGUGGACGUAUACGGUGUGACGCCUGCCCGGUGCCGGAAGGUUAAUUGAUGGGGUCAGCGCAAGCGAAGCUCCUGAUCGAAGCCCCGGUAAACGGCGGCCGUAACUAUAACGGUCCUAAGGUAGCGAAAUUCCUUGUCGGGUAAGUUCCGACCUGCACGAAUGGCGUAAUGAUGGCCAGGCUGUCUCCACCCGAGACUCAGUGAAAUUGAACUCGCUGUGAAGAUGCAGUGUACCCGCGGCAAGACGGAAAGACCCCGUGAACCUUUACUAUAGCUUGACACUGAACAUUGAGCCUUGAUGUGUAGGAUAGGUGGGAGGCUUUGAAGUGUGGACGCCAGUCUGCAUGGAGCCGACCUUGAAAUACCACCCUUUAAUGUUUGAUGUUCUAACGUGGACCCGUAAUCCGGGUUGCGGACAGUGUCUGGUGGGUAGUUUGACUGGGGCGGUCUCCUCCUAAAGAGUAACGGAGGAGCACGAAGGUUGGCUAAUCCUGGUCGGACAUCAGGAGGUUAGUGCAAUGGCAUAAGCCAGCUUGACUGCGAGCGUGACGGCGCGAGCAGGUGCGAAAGCAGGUCAUAGUGAUCCGGUGGUUCUGAAUGGAAGGGCCAUCGCUCAACGGAUAAAAGGUACUCCGGGGAUAACAGGCUGAUACCGCCCAAGAGUUCAUAUCGACGGCGGUGUUUGGCACCUCGAUGUCGGCUCAUCACAUCCUGGGGCUGAAGUAGGUCCCAAGGGUAUGGCUGUUCGCCAUUUAAAGUGGUACGCGAGCUGGGUUUAGAACGUCGUGAGACAGUUCGGUCCCUAUCUGCCGUGGGCGCUGGAGAACUGAGGGGGGCUGCUCCUAGUACGAGAGGACCGGAGUGGACGCAUCACUGGUGUUCGGGUUGUCAUGCCAAUGGCACUGCCCGGUAGCUAAAUGCGGAAGAGAUAAGUGCUGAAAGCAUCUAAGCACGAAACUUGCCCCGAGAUGAGUUCU